UAAAUUACUCUAGUGGCGCACGGGUGAGUAACACGUGAGUAACCUGCCCCCGAGAGCGGGAUAGCCCUGGGAAACUGGGAUUUAAUACCGCAUAGUAUCGAAAGAUUAAAGCAGCAAUGCGCUUGGGGAUGGGCUCGCGGCCUAUUAGUUAGUUGGUGAGGUAACGGCUCACCAAGGCGAUGACGGGUAGCCGGUCUGAGAGGAUGUCCGGCCACACUGGAACUGAGACACGGUCCAGACACCUACGGGAGGCAGCAG
Molecule: ribosomal RNA, 258 nt
Filed under: uncultured bacterium
Lineage: Bacteria
Description: partial 16S ribosomal RNA
Rfam family: Bacterial small subunit ribosomal RNA
Source: RNAcentral